Molecule: long non-coding RNA, 341 nt
Filed under: Trifolium pratense (red clover)
Lineage: Eukaryota; Viridiplantae; Streptophyta; Magnoliopsida; Fabales; Fabaceae
Description: long non-coding RNA (TPRA_LNC006711)
Source: RNAcentral
UAUUUUUGUGUUUAGGCUGCCUGUUUUAAUUUUGGGCAUGGGGGCGUGUAUGGUAAGAACUGCCUUUGCUUAUAAAUAAGCUCAUGUUUAGGCCUUAUCUCUUGAUACUUAAUUGUUGAUGUUGACUUAGUAAUUUGUUGUUCUUGAGCAUCUACUAUAACUUCACUAAAUGGCUAUGCUGGUUGUUGCUUACGUGAUUCACUAGCUAGAAAGGGGUCAAAUAGUGUGUUAUUCACAAUUGCUUUUGCAUUUAGCUUCUGUUUGGAUAAAUGAUUCAUUUACCAUACAUUAAUUAACAUAUUGUAGUUAUUUACAUGAAUUAAGUUAUUUACAUAUUGUAG